This 2050-nucleotide ribosomal RNA is filed under the name human gut metagenome. RNAcentral describes it as "bacterial LSU rRNA". It matches the Rfam family "Bacterial large subunit ribosomal RNA", at positions 1 to 1978 of the family's 2925-position model. The record is from RNAcentral.
UAAAGCUACAAAGAGCUAAUGGGGAAUGCCUUGGUACUGACAGCCGACGAAGGACGUGUAAAGCUGCGAUAAGCCACGGGGAACUGCUAAAAGGUCUUGAUCCGUGGAAAUCCGAAUGGGGAAACCCUCCAGAGUUAAAACUUUGGAACCCGUAACUGAAUACAUAGGUUGCGCGGAGGAAAGCCUGUGAACUGAAACAUCUUAGUAACAGGACGAAGAGAAAAUAAACCAAUGAUUCCGAGAGUAGCGGCGAGCGAAAUUGGAAGAGCCUAAAUUGUGUGUACGUGAUAGCCUGCAAGCGUUGUGCACAUGAGGUUGUGGGACUUGCAUCAUAUUUUGCAGAAUAUGGAUUGAGUUAGAAAAUUAUUUAUUAGUUAAAGUCAACUGGGAAGUUGCGCCAUAGAGAGUGAUAGCCUCGUAAACGACAAUAAAUAAUCUCAAGUAAGUAUCCCGAGUAAGGCGGGGCACGUGAAACCCUGUCUGAAUCCACCGGGACCAUCCGGUAAGGCUAAAUACUAGUCAGUGACCGAUAGUGAACGAGUACAGUGAUGGAAAGGCGAAAAGAACAGUGAGAAGCUGAGUGAAAUAGACCCUGAAACCGUUAGCUUACAACCAGUCAGAGCACAAUUAAUUGUGUGAUGGCGUGCCUGUUGAAGAAUGAGCCGGCGAGUUAUUUUUUGUUGCGAGGUUAAGGAGAUCAUAUCCGGAGCCACAGGGAAACCGAGUCUGAAUAGGGCGUUAAGUAACAGGAAAUAGACCCGAACCUUGGUGAUCUAACCUUGACCAGGAUGAAGCGUGGGUAACACUACGUGGAGGUCCGAACCAACCGAUGUUGAAAAAUCGGUGGAUGAGUUGAGGUUAGGGGUGAAAUGCCAAUCGAACCAAGAGCUAGCUGGUUCUCCCCGAAAUGCGUUUAGGCACAGCGUUGGAUUUAUCUUGCAGGAGGUAGAGCACUGGUUUUGUGCGGGCGUCGAAAUGAUGUACCAAACAAUGUCAAACUCCGAAUACCUGUAAUGUCAUUAUCCAGCAGUGAGGCUAUGAGUGAUAAGAUCCAUGGCCAAGAGGGAAACAGCCCAGAACGCCAGUUAAGGUCCCUAAUAUAUGCUAAGUGGUUAAGGAGGUAGAGUUACUGAGACAACCAGGAGGUUGGCUUAGAAGCAGCCAUCCCUUGAAAGAGUGCGUAAUAGCUCACUGGUCAAGUGACUCCGCGCCGAAAAUACACCGGGACUAAAGCAUAUAACCGAAGCUGCGUCAUAUAGUUUACUAUAUGGGUAGGGGAGCGUACUGUAGUAAGACGAAGCUAGAGUGAAAACACUAGUGGAUGAGGCAGUAGUGAGAAGGUCGGCAUAAGUAGCGAAAACAUUGGUGAGAAUCCAAUGCACCGAAAACCUAAGGUUUCCCACGGCAGGCUCGUCCGCGUGGGGUUAGUCGGAUCCUAAGCUCAGGCCAAACGGCGUAGGCGAUGGACAAUAGGUUGAUAUUCCUAUACUAUCUGAUAAUCGUUAUCAGAAGCGGAGGGACGCAAGAGGAUAAGCACGCAGUCGAAUGGAAGAGACUGUAUAAGCGUGUAGCUAGGUUUGACAGGAAAAUCCGUCAAAUCGUUAAUGUGAGGCGUGAUGUGGAGAGUCUACGGACUCGAAGGUGUUGACUCCAAAUUGCCAAGAAAAUCUUCGCUCUCGAGAUUAUUGGGUAUCCGUACCGUAAACCGCCACAGGUAGGUUGGUAGAAAAUACUAAGGUGCGCGAGACAACUCUCGCUAAGGAACUCGGCAAAAUCACCUCGUAACUUCGGGAGAAGAGGUACCCUGGUAGCGUGAAGCGAUUUACUCGUGAAGCGUGAUAGGGUCGCAGUGAAUAGGCCCAAGCGACUGUUUACCAAAAACACAGGUCUCUGCUAAGUCGAUCAAGACGAUGUAUAGGGGCUGACGCCUGCCCGGUGUCGGAAGGUUACGCGGAAAUGUUAGAAGCAAUUCAAAGCAUCGAAGCUAAGCCCCGAUGAACGGCGGCCGUAACUAUAACGGUCCUAAGGUAGCGAAAUUCCUUGUCAGGUA